ACUGCUCAGUAACACGUGGCUAAUCUGCCCUUGGGACCGGAACACCCCCGGGAAACUGGGGCUAAUUCUCGAUAGGCGAAGAACUCUGGAAUGAGUCUUCGUCAAAAAGACGUUUACGUUAUGCUCGUAGGCGUCGCCCAAGGAUGAGGCCGCGACCGAUCAGGUUGUUGGUGAGGUAAUGGCUCACCAAGCCUUUUACCGGUGCGGGCCGUGAGAGCGGGAGCCCGGAGAUGGGCACUGAGACAAGGGCCCAGGCCCUACGGGGCGCAGCAGUCGCGAAAACUUUGCAAUACACGAAAGUGUGACAGGGCUAUCCCGAGUGCCAUCCGCUGAGGAAGGCUUUUACCCAGUCUAGAACGCUGGGGGAAUAAGGAGAGGGCAAGUCUGGUGUCAGCCGCCGCGGUAAUACCAGCUCUUCGAGUGGUGUGGAUGUUUAUUGGGCCUAAAGCAUCCGUAGCUGGCUAAGUUAGUCCCCUGUUAAAUCCACCGAAUUAAUCGUUGGAUUGCGGGGGAUACUGCUUGGCUAGGGGACGAGAGAGGCAGACGGUAUUUCCGGGGUAGGGGUGAAAUCCUAUAAUCCCGGGAAGACCACCAGUGGCGAAGGCUGUCUGCUAGAACGCGCCCGACGGUGAGGGAUGAAAGCUGGGGGAGCGAACCGGAUUAGAUACCCGGGUAGUCCCAGCUGUAAACGAUGCAGACUAGGUGUUUGGACGGCCACGUGCCGUUCUAGUGCCGCAGGGAAGCUGUUAAGUCUGCCGCCUGGGGAGUACGAUCGCAAGAUUGAAACUUAAAGGAAUUGGCGGGGGAGCA
Molecule: ribosomal RNA, 810 nt
Filed under: uncultured archaeon
Lineage: Archaea
Description: bacterial SSU rRNA
Rfam family: Archaeal small subunit ribosomal RNA
Source: RNAcentral